Transfer RNA from Enterococcus italicus DSM 15952, 81 nucleotides. It matches the Rfam family "tRNA". Rfam says of the family: Transfer RNA (tRNA) molecules are approximately 80 nucleotides in length. Their secondary structure includes four short double-helical elements and three loops (D, anti-codon, and T loops). The record is from Rfam. Lineage: Bacteria; Bacillati; Bacillota; Bacilli; Lactobacillales; Enterococcaceae.
GGAGGAGUAGCGAAGUGGCUAAACGCGGCGGACUGUAAAUCCGUUCCUUUCGGUUCAGUGGUUCGAAUCCACUCUCCUCCA